AGAGUUUGAUCMUGGCUCAGAACAAACGCUGGCGGCGUGUCUUAAGCAUGCAAGUUGAGCGGCAAGGGGGAGCGAUCCCUCCUAGAGCAGCGGACUGGUGAGUAACGCGUGGGUWAUCUGCCUUGGGCAUGGGGAUAGCCAUUAGAAAUAGUGGGUAAUACCGAAUACGUUCCACGGGGGGAGUGCUUGUGGAAGAAAGGGUGCUASGGCACUGGCCUGAGAUGAGCUCGCGUCCCAUUAGCUAGUUGGUGAGGUAAAGGCCCACCAAGGCGAUGAUGGGUAGCCGGCCUGAGAGGGUGUACGGCCACACUGGGACUGAGAUACGGCCCAGACUCCUACGGGAGGCAGCAGCUAAGAAUAUUCCGCAAUGGACGGAAGUCUGACGGAGCGACGCCGCGUGGAUGAMGAAGGCCGAAAGGUUGUAAAGUUCUUUUGCUGGGGAAGAAUAACCGCAGGAGGGAAUGCCUGUGGGAUGACAAGAACCGGCGAAUAAGCCCCGGCCAACUACGUGCCAGCAGCCGCGGUAACACGUAGGGGGCGAGCGUUGUUCGGAAUUACUGGGCGUAAAGGGCAUGUAGGCGGCUUGGAAAGCCUGGCGUGAAAGUCUGCAGCUUAACUGCAGGGGUGCGCUGGGAACUGCUGAGCUUGAGUGACGGAGAGGGAGCUGGAAUUCCUGGUGUAGGGGUGAAAUCUGUAGAUAUCAGGAAGAACACCGAUGGCGAAGGCAAGCUCCUGGCCGAUGACUGACGCUGAGGUGCGAAAGUGUGGGGAUCAAACAGGAUUAGAUACCCYGGUAGU
This 798-nucleotide ribosomal RNA is filed under the name uncultured bacterium. Its description in RNAcentral is "bacterial SSU rRNA". It matches the Rfam family "Bacterial small subunit ribosomal RNA", at positions 8 to 794 of the family's 1533-position model. The record is from RNAcentral.